CGGGACCUCAGGUCAGGCGGGGCUACCCGCUGAGUUUAAGCA
This 42-nucleotide ribosomal RNA is filed under the name Swartzia laevicarpa. Its description in RNAcentral is "partial 26S ribosomal RNA". Lineage: Eukaryota; Viridiplantae; Streptophyta; Magnoliopsida; Fabales; Fabaceae. The record is from RNAcentral.